This 290-nucleotide long non-coding RNA is filed under the name Gossypium raimondii (Peruvian cotton). RNAcentral's name for it is "long non-coding RNA (GRAI_LNC010926)". Lineage: Eukaryota; Viridiplantae; Streptophyta; Magnoliopsida; Malvales; Malvaceae. The record is from RNAcentral.
ACAUCACCAUAAAAUUGGCAUCUUUCAGUUGAUUUGCUUUGAAAUCGGCUAGGCUUCAUUGGAGGCGAUGUGUCAUGGAUAUCCUGCUCUCCAAUAUGACUUAGAAUGUAUGCUCGUAACAAAUUCAAUGGACUAAGCCUGGUGUACUUGUUACAUGCCCCAUGUUUUCUUCUUUCAUCAUAUGUAUCAAAAUGGGACAAAGUGUUUUUUGAUGAAUUAGGGGGAGCAAGAAUGGUGUUUCCCCCUAAGUCUACUCAUAAGUAGGGUGCGUUCUAUAUUGAUCAUUUUUG